UUCCUCAUGGCCCAAUGGUCAAGGCGUCUGACUACGGAUCAGAAGAUUCCAGGUUCGAGUCCUGGUGGGGAAG
Molecule: transfer RNA, 73 nt
Filed under: Millerozyma farinosa CBS 7064
Lineage: Eukaryota; Fungi; Ascomycota; Pichiomycetes; Serinales; Debaryomycetaceae
Description: tRNA-Arg (ACG) (tRNA-Arg-ACG-1-1, tRNA-Arg-ACG-1-2)
Rfam family: tRNA
About the family: Transfer RNA (tRNA) molecules are approximately 80 nucleotides in length. Their secondary structure includes four short double-helical elements and three loops (D, anti-codon, and T loops).
Source: RNAcentral